RNAcentral lists this ribosomal RNA (237 nucleotides) under uncultured bacterium. Its description in RNAcentral is "partial 16S ribosomal RNA". It matches the Rfam family "Bacterial small subunit ribosomal RNA", at positions 335 to 564 of the family's 1533-position model. The record is from RNAcentral.
UAUCCUACGGGGGGCAGCAGUAGGGAAUCUUCCACAAUGGACGAAAGUCUGAUGGAGCAACGCCGCGUGAGUGAAGAAGGGUUUCGGCUCGUAAAGCGCUGUUGGUAGUGAAGAAAGAUAGAGGUAGUAACUGGCCUUUAUUUGACGGUAAUUACUUAGAAAGUCACGGCUAACUAAGUGGCAGCAGCCGCGGGAAUAAGGAGGUGGGAAGCGUUGUCCGGAUUUAUUGGGCGUAAA